CCUACGGGAGGCAGCAGUGAGGAAUAUUGGUCAAUGGGCUUACGCCUGAACCAGCCAAGUCGCGUGAGGGAAGACUGCCCUAUGGGUUGUAAACCUCUUUUGUCAGGGAGCAACGCCGGCUACGUGUAGCCGGACUGAGAGUACCUGAAGAAAAAGCAUCGGCUAACUCCGUGCCAGCAGCCGCGGUAAUACGGAGGAUGCGAGCGUUAUCCGGAUUUAUUGGGGUUAAAGGGUGCGUAGGCGGAAAUCCAGGUCAGCGGUAAAAUCGCGGGGCUAAACCUCGCUCUGCCGUUGAAACUGGCGUUCUUGAGUGGGCGAGAAGUAUGGGGAAUGCGUGGUGUAGCGGUGAAAUGCAUAGAUAUCAAGAAGAA
RNAcentral lists this ribosomal RNA (371 nucleotides) under uncultured bacterium. Its description in RNAcentral is "partial 16S ribosomal RNA". It matches the Rfam family "Bacterial small subunit ribosomal RNA", at positions 338 to 706 of the family's 1533-position model. The record is from RNAcentral.